Molecule: long non-coding RNA, 306 nt
Filed under: Physcomitrium patens
Lineage: Eukaryota; Viridiplantae; Streptophyta; Bryopsida; Funariales; Funariaceae
Description: long non-coding RNA (PPAT_LNC000698)
Source: RNAcentral
CUAAUUAAACCUUAAUAAAAUCUUAAAAAAUUCUAAUCAAAUUUUAAAUCAAUUCUAAUCAAAUCCUAAACCAAUCCUAAAUAAGUUCUAAUAAAAUCUUAAACUAAUCUUAAUCAAAUUUUAACCAACUCUACAUCAAUUCUAAUAAAAUCUUAAUCAAUUUUUUAUCAAGUUUUAAAUCAAAUCUAAUCAAAUUCUAAUCAAUUCUAAAUAAAUUAUAAACCAAUCCUAAACUAAUCUUAAUCAAAUCUUAACCAAAUCCUAAACUAAUCUUAAUCAAAUCUUAACCAAAUCCUAAAUUAAUCU